CCGGGAUGUCACAGAAUCAUGGAAUCAAUUGGGGUGGAAGAGCUCUGUGAGAUCACUGAGUCCAACCUGGGACCCAGCUCCACCGUGGCAACCAGACCAGAGCUUUCAGUGGCUCACCCAGGCUUUGCUUGAACACCUGCCACAGUGAAUCUACCACCCACCUGGGCAGCCCAUUCCAAUAUCUGAUUACUCUUUAUGAGAAGAAAUUCUUCCUAAUGUCCAACCCAAACCUCCCCUGAUUUUGGGCUGUCAAAUGCUUCACCCAUCUCCUUCCUGGGUUCAAUCCACUCUCUCAAGCAGUGCCUAUUUACACCCCUAUGACUUCCAUCUUCAGUUCUGCAGCACAGUUUGUCCUGCUGAUUUUUAAGCCUUCAAGACUACAAGGACAUGCCUCAAAUACACUGCAAAUUAUCUGAA
This is a long non-coding RNA of Vidua macroura (Pin-tailed whydah), 417 nucleotides long. RefSeq lists it as uncharacterized. The record is from RefSeq and is a predicted model, not a curated record. Lineage: Eukaryota; Metazoa; Chordata; Aves; Passeriformes; Viduidae. The transcript has 2 exons.